UAACCUUUCACUUCAAAAUGACUUGGUUAUCUAACAGAAAGGCUAACGUAGUUUAACAAUCAUUUACCCCUAACUAUAUAAAUCUAACCAGAGCUAAUCUCUGCAACUGAUAUUUCUUCCUUCCUGUACAAAACUGCCUCUUGAGCAGCACAUUCUCUGAAGUUAAUACAUUUCUGCUCUGGCUAUGUCUCCUUCUUCUGUACACUAGUUAAUAAGAAAGCCCCGCUCACUCCAAGUGCACUCUCAAAACUUGACUGUGAAGAUUGAUAACGUCACUCACCAUCCCAUUGCAACAGUAAACUCAAUAUUUCUCUCUAACCUCCAAGCCUGUGUCGUAAUCGUUUCUAUUCUGUCCAUUGGCCGCUGUUGAUGGACUUUUCAUCGUGCGUCUCUUAUCUGCAGGAUCACAACAGUGAUUACUUGACCAUAAUCAACUUUGCCCAUUCAAAACAGGAAAUUAUUUCACCACAGUGACUAAGAAACUCAACAAGAAAUUUAAAGACAUGGGACCAAGGUUUAGAAGAAGCACUUGUCUAAAAUUGAAUUUCUGGAGGAAACAGAGAAAGAUUGGUUGCGUACAAUGAAAUUCCAUCACUAACAUCCUUUUCUAAAGAUCAAAACUUUUUCUGUUGGUCAUUGAACAAAAGAAAUACUAAUUCAAGAUCAAGUCUAAAUUCGCCUUGCGAAGAAGGCUGAAAUGGAACCUGUUAGUAGUAGGAUCCCAAUAAAUCCCUACCUCAUCGCGGGCUGCCAAACCCCUCCGCUGCACGAACUCCUUGAUCCAACACCCC
RNAcentral lists this long non-coding RNA (791 nucleotides) under Eucalyptus grandis. RNAcentral describes it as "long non-coding RNA (EGRA_LNC007917)". The record is from RNAcentral. Lineage: Eukaryota; Viridiplantae; Streptophyta; Magnoliopsida; Myrtales; Myrtaceae.